Rhinolophus ferrumequinum (greater horseshoe bat) is the source of this 3037-nucleotide long non-coding RNA. RefSeq lists it as uncharacterized. The record is from RefSeq and is a predicted model, not a curated record. The transcript is spliced from 3 exons. NCBI's taxonomy places the organism in Eukaryota, Metazoa, Chordata, Mammalia, Chiroptera, Rhinolophidae.
CACUCACUUCCCACCCCCACAAACCAACCACUAUCCUGGUUCAGGGUCCCCAUCUUUCCUCUGGAACCACUGCACCAGCUGCCUCACUAACUUCAACUGUCCCAUUAUCCAGAGAUUGCAUCAUUCUCUACUCAAGACCCUUCCACGGCGCCCAGUGCAGACUGACAGCAGCUUGGCACCUGAGGCCCUCUGGGAUCUGGUGCCCACGUGUGCUGGCAGCCUCAUCACCUGCCGACCACCACCAAUAACGUCUGUGCCAUCUAACCUUGUUUCUAUACGUCCUCAAUUUCCUGCCUCAGGGAUAGCUGGGGUCUAGCCUCAGCUCUGUCUCUGACUCAGUGUGACCUUAGGCAAGCGCUUGGCCUCUCUGAGCCUCAGUCUCAUGAGGCAAUUGGGGGCUCUUGUGCAGAUGAGACAAGAUAAGAGACUGUCGGGGGCCAGGAAGCGCCAGCCUGCUUACCACUGCCUCCUCUCUGCACCUCCACCCCCGCAGCAGUGCUGAUUCUCUCCCCUAAGCUUUCUCUCCUCCAUGCACUGGAAUGCAGCGGCUGGCAGCCAGCAGGGGCAGCCAGGGAGGGGAGCGGGAGGGAGGAUGGCUUACAGGAAAAUUACCCGGGCUCAGGACAGCCAAUGCUGGCGCUUACAGCUGCCUCUAAAAGACUGGAGCUGGGGGCCUAGCAGGCUCUUCCUGAGCCAUGCACUUGGCCCCAGGCCUUGACCCCUGUCUGAGCUGGUGGGGGACUGGCGGGUACUCUGGGCCCCACUCCUCUGGGACAUGCCCACUCUUUGGCACCCACAGAAACGGAGAAGGAGGCAAAACACAGACUGGCCUUUGUGAGAAGAGAAAAUCGGCUCCUGCUGCUGCAUGCUGGGGCCCCAGGCACUGACAUGAAAAGGGUCCUCUGGGCCCCUCUGCUGAAUCUUUAUACCCUGGGUACCAUGUCCCUACGUCAUAUACUUUGUACCAGCAUCACAUAUGCCACGCCCUGUGUUCCUCACACCUUGUGCAGUGUGUGUACACUGAUGCACGUUCCACGUUGCGGCCCAUGGACACCUUACACCUGGAUCGUGCUCCGUGCACCACGUCAUAUCUGUUGCAUGAUGCACUCUGUACUACAUACCAUCUUUUGAAUCCCAUACCCACUGUGUCAGGUCCUAUCCCUUGAAAGUGUGUGCCAUCAACCUUGUCCUGGGCCCAUGAAGUGUCCCUCAUGCCUUGAUGGCCAUCUGUAUCGUAAUGGUUAAGGAGGGCAGGCUACGGGACAGACUCCCAACCCUACCCACCGUUACCAAGGAAAAGUUACCUCCCUUUUCAAUGCCUCAGUUUCUCCAGCUAUACAACAGAAAUGGUAUUAACACUCACCUAAUAAGAGUUGUUGUGGGAACUAAAAGAGAUAAUGCAUUUAAGGCUCUUAGCCCGGUGCCUGGCACAGAGUGAGUCUGCAAAUGUUGGCUGGUAUUGUUAAAACUGUGCCCAGGUAUCUGUACUAUGUCCCGUGUACUGCAUGCCAGGCUCCCAAUUCCCCAGCUCCUACUAUGCAUCAGACAUUCUAUCACAUUUGUGAAAUUCAAACAAUGAGCUAUAAGAAGGCUAUGACUAUCCCCUCUUCCAGAGGAGAAAUCCCAGGCACAGAGAGGGCCAACAAGUGCAUGAACUCGCACAGCCAGGAUGGAUGAAGCUGGGAGGUGCCCACAGCCUGGGCAUCCAGAGACACAGUAGAGUUGUGGUGGGCUACGGGGUGGGUGUGGAGAUUGCCAGCCAGCAGGCACAGGCAUCUUUUAGGGGUGAUGAAAAUGUUCUCAAACUAGAUUGUGGAAAUGACGGCAUAACUCUGCAAAUUUAUUAAAAGUCACUGAAUUAAGUAAACCAGGUGAAUUAUAUGUCUGUAAAUAAGCUGUAAAUUUACUUCGACAACUUAUGUAAAUUGUAUUUCAAUAAGGCUGGUUUAAACAAAAGAAAAAUAAAAGCCCCUGAACUUCCCAUGCACCACGCUGCCCAAGCAUUCAGCAAGAGGAGUGACUCCCUGGGAGUCAGUGGACACCAUCAGCACAGGCUGAGCAGCCGCCCUGAGGCCCAGCCGGGAGGAGCCUUGAGUGGCAUGGUUCCCAAACACCUCUGCAGACCAGGUGCAUAACAACAGAAUCACCUGGGGGGGCUCCAGAAAACGUGGAUUCCCAGGCCCCACGCCCAGCCUCUGAGUCUGUAGGUUGGGGUGGGGCCCGGGAACCUGGGAUUCUGAGGCUCAGCCUGGACUGGAAACCACUUAUCAAAGCCCAACAUCUCCUUUCACUUUUGGGGAAACUGAGGCCAAGCAGGACAGGCGAUGUGUGAGGUCUAGUUGAUCAAGCAGUGGAAAAGCCAGGGCUGGCACUGGGACCCCUCCUUGUCCCUUCUCUCCAUUCCCUCCUUGGCCAUCAGCCUCCGGGUGACUCAGGGCUCUGAGUCAUUCUGUAGCGCCACAGAGGAAACUUCUUGGAAAAACAAAACAAUCCCCAAACAAAGCUGCUCUGAUCUGUGGAACAGAAUAGGCCCAGGGCGCUAAGAGUGAGGGAAGAGAACACAGGGUGGAGUUGGAGGCCAGGACCAAGACUUAGUCUCCCUUCUUGGCCACUGACUUGUGAGGGCCCUAGAGAAAGCACCUCUCUGUACUGAGCCUGUUUUGCCACCUGUAAAUAACACCAGUAUUAUCCACAGAAGCUCAUAUGGACCAGGUGACGUCCUGCCUCAGGACUUCCUGGCCCAGUGGGUGAUACACGUAAAUUCAGGUAAUCACUUAAGUGGCUCUGGGCAGAGGGAGCGCAAAGCAGGGAGCACCCAGGACCUGACAAGCCACAAAGGAGGAGCAUUUGAGCAGAGCCUUGAAGAAUGAAUGGAGACUGAGCUCCACCAGACUGCUCUGCCUCAGAAGCUGCGGCCGUGGCACAUGACCUGGCGAACAGCAGACCAGCAGGGGUAUGCUAGAUGACUGAAUGAAGGGCCGGCCUACCUUGGCCAAGAUUGUGCAGCCCCGUCUUCCAGCCCCCACCCACCCCCAAC